This 520-nucleotide ribosomal RNA is filed under the name uncultured Glomus. RNAcentral's name for it is "SSU rRNA". It matches the Rfam family "Eukaryotic small subunit ribosomal RNA", at positions 569 to 1088 of the family's 1831-position model. Lineage: Eukaryota; Fungi; Glomeromycota; Glomeromycetes; Glomerales; Glomeraceae. The record is from RNAcentral.
AGCAGCCGCGGUAAUUCCAGCUCCAAUAGCGUAUAUUAAAGUUGUUGCAGUUAAAAAGCUCGUAGUUGAAUUUCGGGGUCAGUAGGUUGGUCGUGCCACCGGUACGUACUGGUCUCACUGAUUCCUCCUUCCUGAUGAGCUGUAAUGCCAUUAAUUUGGUGUUGCAGGGAAUCUGGACUGUUACUUUGAAAAAAUUAGAGUGUUUAAAGCAGGCUAACGCUUGAAUACAUUAGCAUGGAAUAAUGAAAUAGGACGUUCGAUCCUAUUUUGUUGGUUUCUAGGAUUGACGUAAUGAUUAGUAGGGAUAGUUGGGGGCAUUAGUAUUCAAUUGUCAGAGGUGAAAUUCUUGGAUUUAUUGAAGACUGACUACUGCGAAAGCAUUUGCCAAGGAUGUUUUCAUUAAUCAAGAACGAAAGUUAGGGGAUCGAAGACGAUCAGAUACCGUCGUAGUCUUAACCAUAAACUAUGCCGACUAGGGAUCGGAUGAUGUUAAUUUUUUAAGUGUACUUAUUCGCGUCCC